CGUGUCGUGAGAUGUUGGGUUAAGUCCCGUAACGAGCGCAACCCUUGUCCUUAGUUACCAGCACGUAAUGGUGGGCACUCUAAGGAGACUGCCGGUGACAAACCGGAGGAAGGUGGGGAUGACGUCAAGUCAUCAUGGCCCUUACGGCCUGGGCUACACACGUGCUACAAUGGUCGGUACAGAGGGUUGCCAAGCCGCGAGGUGGAGCUAAUCUCACAAAACCGAUCGUAGUCCGGAUCGCAGUCUGCAACUCGACUGCGUGAAGUCGGAAUCGCUAGUAAUCGCGAAUCAGAAUGUCGCGGUGAAUACGUUCCCGGGCCUUGUACACACCGCCCGUCACACCAUGGGAGUGGGUUGCACCAGAAGUAGCUAGUCUAACCUUCGGGAGGACGGUUACCACGGUGUGAUUCAUGACUGGGGU
Molecule: ribosomal RNA, 421 nt
Filed under: uncultured bacterium
Lineage: Bacteria
Description: bacterial SSU rRNA
Rfam family: Bacterial small subunit ribosomal RNA
Source: RNAcentral